Molecule: ribosomal RNA, 392 nt
Filed under: uncultured Pseudomonas sp.
Lineage: Bacteria; Pseudomonadati; Pseudomonadota; Gammaproteobacteria; Pseudomonadales; Pseudomonadaceae
Description: bacterial SSU rRNA
Rfam family: Bacterial small subunit ribosomal RNA
Source: RNAcentral
CUACGGGAGGCAGCAGUGGGGAAUAUUGGACAAUGGGCGAAAGCCUGAUCCAGCCAUGCCGCGUGUGUGAAGAAGGUCUUCGGAUUGUAAAGCACUUUAAGUUGGGAGGAAGGGCAGUAAGUUAAUACCUUGCUGUUUUGACGUUACCGACAGAAUAAGCACCGGCUAACUCUGUGCCAGCAGCCGCGGUAAUACAGAGGGUGCAAGCGUUAAUCGGAAUUACUGGGCGUAAAGGGCGCGUAGGUGGUUCGUUAAGUUGGAUGUGAAAGCCCCGGGCUCAACCUGGGAACUGCAUCCAAAACUGGCGAGCUAGAGUACGGUAGAGGGUGGUGGAAUUUCCUGUGUAGCGGUGAAAUGCGUAGAUAUAGGAAGGAACACCAGUGGGCCGGGUG